AAACCAUGAUUUGGUGACUUCAACAAAUAUUCCUUGAAUCUCUCCCAAGCUUCAAAUAGUUGUUCCCCUAGAAAUUGUUUGAAAUCAUAUAUCUUGUCACGAAUUU
Molecule: small nucleolar RNA, 106 nt
Organism: Lycium ferocissimum
Lineage: Eukaryota; Viridiplantae; Streptophyta; Magnoliopsida; Solanales; Solanaceae
Source: RefSeq, a predicted model, not a curated record